GGGAGAAAUAAGGACGGCUCUGUGCUCUCUGAGCGGGAUGAGACAGUUUUAAGAUGGAUUGUAAAGAAAGAUGUCUGAAACAAACAAGGAGAAGCAGCCAAAGGUAGUGGAUUGUUAACCAACUGGUUAAGAGAGAGUAUAACAGAGUGUCUUCAGUCAGAGGCUUCUUCAGAUUUGCUGUAAGACGGAGCGCUACAAGAG
Molecule: long non-coding RNA, 201 nt
Organism: Girardinichthys multiradiatus
Lineage: Eukaryota; Metazoa; Chordata; Actinopteri; Cyprinodontiformes; Goodeidae
Exons: 3
Source: RefSeq, a predicted model, not a curated record